This is a non-coding RNA of Pseudonaja textilis, 1081 nucleotides long. Lineage: Eukaryota; Metazoa; Chordata; Lepidosauria; Squamata; Elapidae. The record is from RefSeq and is a predicted model, not a curated record.
AUAAAAUUGCGCACUGGCUCUUUAAGGCAAAGCACGUGAUGGCCCGUACCUCCAAAGCGGAAGACGAUGGGGAAAAUUGGGAAAUUGCCGAGGAUACUUUCUCUCUUUGUGUUUUUAAAAGGACAGCGAUUGCUUUUCGUUAGGCUACUGUUGUCGUCGAGAGCAUUCUAUAAACGUCAGGACUUCUUGAAAAUGAGUUGGGUAGAGAUUCAAACGGCUUACAAUUUGGAAGAUCUUCCCGGGAAGGGAUGAUAAAAAAACUGAACAAGGGAUCUUGCUACAAUAUAGAGGCUUAGCAGUACUUGAAUAAGCAGUAGAAAAUCUUAGGCUCUUCUCCAAAGGAAUUGUGAUGGUAGAAAAUAUAUGCCUCUGAUAACCUAGAUUCAUAUUGGAGUAGUUAGUCCUUGACUUAUGACCACAAUAGAGCCCAAAUUUUUGUUGCUAAACAAGACAGGACAACUGAAAUACAAAGGAUUUUAUCAAAUAACAAAACCAGUAACUUACUGCAUGUAGACAGGAAUCAAAUUAGCCAUGUUAGACUUACACCUAUACCAAGAUAUUGAUCUACCUCAUAAUACCUUCAAUGGCUAAGACCAUUAGCGUACACCAUUUAGACAAACACCAUUAGGUCGAAUAUUUUGUGCAUUAAAAAUAUAAAAAGCUUCAGUACUGAAAAGAACCAUCUGCUUUUUAAAAUAUUAAAGACAAUUUUCAGCAAAUCUCAGUAACUGCUAAACAUCAGUAUUUUCAGUAGUCUCAAAAGUAUAUGACAUCUUAUAAAUUUAAUGUAUUAAAUAAACCCAUUUUCUUUAUCAAGACUCUUAUCCAUGCAGACUUCAUGACUUCAACUUUCUAUUAUUCUCUUCCUAUCCUAUCUGAGUUUUAUAAUAUAUUGCCUCAUAAAAAGAUCUUGAAUGUUUAUCUUUGGAUGGUCCACAUAUCUAUAUCUAAGAGUUUUUGAGGCUGACUUACUGAUUUUACCCAAUUUACUUACUGAUUUUGAGUUAAGUUAAACUUAAUUAUACAAUAUUAUUUUCAAUAUAAUAUUUUAACUUUUCCUUAGAAGUUAACAAUAAUAUUU